Molecule: ribosomal RNA, 450 nt
Filed under: uncultured bacterium
Lineage: Bacteria
Description: partial 16S ribosomal RNA
Rfam family: Bacterial small subunit ribosomal RNA
Source: RNAcentral
GUGGGGAAUUUUGGACAAUGGGCGUAAGCCUGAUCCAGCAAUGCCGCGUGCAGGAAGAAGGCCUUCGGGUUGUAAACUGCUUUUGUACGGAACGAAACGGUCCUGGUUAAUACCUGGGGCUAAUGACGGUACCGUAAGAAUAAGCACCGGCUAACUACGUGCCAGCAGCCGCGGUAAUACGUAGGGUGCAAGCGUUAAUCGGAAUUACUGGGCGUAAAGCGUGCGCAGGCGGUUUUGUAAGACAGGCGUGAAAUCCCCGGGCUCAACCUGGGAAUUGCGCUUGUGACUGCAAGGCUGGAGUGCGGCAGAGGGGGAUGGAAUUCCGCGUGUAGCAGUGAAAUGCGUAGAUAUGCGGAGGAACACCGAUGGCGAAGGCAAUCCCCUGGGCCUGCACUGACGCUGAGGAGCGAAAGCAUGGGGAGCGAACAGGAUUAGAUACCCCAGUAGUCC